UGCAAAUUUGAAGGUCACCCUACCUCC
RNAcentral lists this non-coding RNA (27 nucleotides) under Mus musculus (house mouse). The record is from RNAcentral. Lineage: Eukaryota; Metazoa; Chordata; Mammalia; Rodentia; Muridae.